Molecule: long non-coding RNA, 1206 nt
Filed under: Ananas comosus (pineapple)
Lineage: Eukaryota; Viridiplantae; Streptophyta; Magnoliopsida; Poales; Bromeliaceae
Description: long non-coding RNA (ACOM_LNC030264)
Source: RNAcentral
UAAAAAUAAUUUGAUUAAAAUUUAAAAUUUAAAAUUUAAAUUUAAAUUCAAGAGUUCAAAUUUAAAUAAAAAUAAAUUUUUAAAUUUUAAAUAUAAAUAUAAAGUCAUAAAUUUGAAUUUUAAAUUUUAUUUUAAAUUUUAAUUUACAAAUAAAAUUCAAAAUAUGAUCAUAAUUUUAAUUCAAAUUUAAAGUGAAAUUGAACUUUAAAAAUAAAUUUAAGUAUUAAAGAUAAGACCAAAUAUUACCUUUUAGAUAAGCUCUCCACUUUCGGUGACUUACGUAUUUUUUUAGCCUAAGUCUAAAAAGUGAGAUUUAGUUAUAACUCAAUUUAUCCGUCUACUUUCGUAAAGUGACUUUCACAUUCACUUUUGUAAACCAAAUAACCGAUAAAACGUCACUUUCUAAAAGUACCAUUUUUGAUGUUACACUUUCGGCGAACCAAACAUGCCCUAAAAUGUACCCAAAUUCUAGUAUAUUUAGAAUUUCUACUCUAAUAAAUAUUUAAAUCUAUAUUUAGUUUAUCUUCAAUAAAUUUAAAUAUUUAUCCUAAUCUAGUUGAAUUUAUACUCUAAUUAAUAUUUAAAUCUUAAUUUAUCUUCAACAGGUUUAAAUAUUAAUUCUUAUCCAACUAGAAUUAAUCUACAAAUCUAAUCAAAUCCUAAAAAAUUAAACCACUCCUUACUUUCUCCUCUUCUAAGUACAACCCUAGCAACUACUCCAGCAACUAGAAGCAUCAACAGGCUUAGAAUUUUCGAAAAUUCCUUGCCUCAACUUGUGCUGGUUCCUGGUGCAGCCGCUGUCCAAUGCUGCUAGAUUCGGGUUGGGGUUUUCGGGUUCGGGUUCGGAUUUCGGAUUUUUGGUCGGGUUCGGAUUUGGAUAUGAAUUGUUAAAAUCCGUCGGAUUCGGAUUCGGAUUUCGAAUUUAGAGUCGGGUUCGGGUUUUUAAAAACCCGCCCCGAAUGGGACCCAUUGACAUCCCUAGUCACAUUUCAAAAUUAUUUGGAAUUAAAAAGAGGUAAAACAUGCGCUUAACUCUCCUAAACUCUUGGAUCUAGCCACCACCCAAAAUGUUUAAGCCGUCUUAAAAGUUUAGCCAUUUUAUAUCAUAUAUAUAGAACUAUUUUGGAUCUCACAUAAAAAGUGCAGGUACUUUCAACUGCAGUUACACACACAAUAGACACACUCCCUGAGAAACCAAACAUACAA